This 471-nucleotide ribosomal RNA is filed under the name Sterechinus neumayeri. RNAcentral's name for it is "partial 12S ribosomal RNA". It matches the Rfam family "Bacterial small subunit ribosomal RNA", at positions 788 to 1533 of the family's 1533-position model. Lineage: Eukaryota; Metazoa; Echinodermata; Echinoidea; Camarodonta; Echinidae. The record is from RNAcentral.
UGUUAUACUUAGACGUAAACAACCUAAGCACCAGAGAACUACGAACCUAAAGUUUAAAACUCAAAGGACUUGGCGGUUUUCCAAACCUCCCUGGAGGAGCUUGCCAUUGAAUCGAUAAUCCACGAAAUACCUCACCAGCUUUUGUAUAAUCAGCUUGUAUACCAUCGUCGUAAGUCUACUUCUCAAGAAAGUUGACCCCAAGGAAAUAUUCCUAGACGUCAGAUCAAGGUGCAGCAUAUGGGCUGGGGAUAGGUGAGCUACAAUGUUUGAAUAAACCAGCAAAAAUAGAAAUGAAAACUCUCUAGAAGUUGGAUUCAGCAGUAAGCCCCAAAUAGAUAGUGGGGCUGAAAAGAGCUCUGGAAUGCGUACACAUCGCCCGUCACUCUCGCCUAGCUUGUCUAAGUAAGGGGAGAAAAGUCGUAACACAAUAGGCACACCGGAAGGUGUGCCUGGAAAAUGCCCCUAUAGUUG